This 414-nucleotide ribosomal RNA is filed under the name Acanthamoeba genotype T4. RNAcentral's name for it is "SSU rRNA". It matches the Rfam family "Eukaryotic small subunit ribosomal RNA", at positions 779 to 1095 of the family's 1831-position model. The record is from RNAcentral. Lineage: Eukaryota; Discosea; Longamoebia; Acanthamoebidae.
GGCAGAUCCAAUUCUCUGCCACCGAAUACAUUAGCAUGGGAUAAUGGAAUAGGACCCUGUCCUCCUAUUUUCAGUUGGUUUUGGCAGCGCGAGGACUAGGGUAAUGAUUAAUAGGGAUAGUUGGGGGCAUUAAUAUUUAAUUGUCAGAGGUGAAAUUCUUGGAUUUAUGAAAGAUUAACUUCUGCGAAAGCAUCUGCCAAGGAUGUUUUCAUUAAUCAAGAACGAAAGUUAGGGGAUCGAAGACGAUCAGAUACCGUCGUAGUCUUAACCAUAAACGAUGCCGACCAGCGAUUAGGAGACGUUGAAUACAAAACACCACCAUCGGUGCGGUCGUUCUUGGCGUCGGUUUCGGCCGGCGCGGGAGCGGCUUAGCCCGGUGGCACCGGUGAAUGACUCCCCUAGCAGCUUGUGAGA